This 68-nucleotide transfer RNA is filed under the name Allobates crombiei. RNAcentral describes it as "tRNA-Glu". The record is from RNAcentral. Lineage: Eukaryota; Metazoa; Chordata; Amphibia; Anura; Aromobatidae.
GUUUUUAUAGUUGAAUACAACAGAAAUUUUUCAGAUUUCAAGUCUAGGUUAAAGGCCUAGUAAGAACU